UAGGUAGGUGGUCUCAUUUGUCUGGGGUGAAAGCCUUGAGCUUAACUCAAGAAGUGCCCCGGAAACGGUGAGACUGGAGUCCUGGAGAGGGUCGUGGAAUUCCCGGUGUAGCGGUGAAAUGCGUAGAGAUCGGGAGGAACACCAGAGGCGAAGGCGGCGACCUGGACAGGUACUGACACUCAACUACGAAAGCGUGGGGAGCAAACAGGAUUAGAUACCCUGGUAGUCCACGCUGUAAACGAUGGGUACUAGGUUUGGUGGGUCUUGACCCCCGCCGAACCGGCGCUAACGCAAUAAGUACCCCGCCUGGGAAGUACGGUCGCAAGACUAAAA
Molecule: ribosomal RNA, 333 nt
Filed under: uncultured bacterium
Lineage: Bacteria
Description: bacterial SSU rRNA
Rfam family: Bacterial small subunit ribosomal RNA
Source: RNAcentral